Cebus imitator (Panamanian white-faced capuchin) is the source of this 3304-nucleotide RNA transcript. It is a transcript of the gene named melanoma inhibitory activity protein 2-like, with no coding region annotated. The transcript has a single exon. Lineage: Eukaryota; Metazoa; Chordata; Mammalia; Primates; Cebidae. The record is from RefSeq and is a predicted model, not a curated record.
GGUCCUUGGGGCUGUGCGGCUCACAGGACAGCGCAGAGUAUGAGGCCAAAUCCCGUCCUGCAGUCCCAAGCCUCUCUACUACCAGGGCUGAGUGGCUUCGCUAGGUAGGGGGCGGGCCCCUUUAGCAGCAAACAACUUGACACUUCUGCCAAGCUCCCGCGAAGAAGAAGGGGAAGUUUGCGGUGCCUCCCCACCUCUCCCCAGGUACCUGGCGGAAACCAAACCGAGGGGUGCGGUGGCAAGGACAGGGUGCCUCGCAGGCUUGUGCAGGUAGGCCUCGGACCUGCGCUGCCUCGGAGUGUAAAGGAGGCCGGGGUGGGCAGCGUGGGCCUAUGAGGCCCGUGGGUGCCCGCAUCCCCCUGCAGCCGGCUCCGCAGUGGUCCGUUCUAGUUCCGUGUUCGGAGUGGGAUGCGCGCUCUCCGGUGCUUAUUGCGGCCGGACAGGCCGGGGUUACGGCGUGACCGCCAGAGCAGCCCUGGUGCUAUGGAGGUAGCUGGGGCUGGUCCUGCCACAGGGUUGUGGUGGCACUGCCUGAUGGUGUGAGCCCGGAUUCUAAUCCUUAUGGUUUUCCAUGGGAAUUGGUGAUAUGUACAGCUCUUGCUGGAUUUUUUCUGUUCCCUUUUUUGCGUGUGUGGAGAAGUUUUAGACUGGUUAGGAGUCAGCUUUAUGUGGAAAGAGAGAAAAAAGCUUGCUGUAAUGCUUUCUGGACUAACUGAAAAAAAAUGUAAACUAAUUGAAAAUUUUAGCCUUGUUCAAAAAGACUAUGAAGGCCAUGAAGUAGAGUCAUCUUUAAAGCAUGCCAGCUUUGAGAAGGAGGCAACAGAAGCACAAAGUUUGGAGGCAACCUGUGGAAAGCUGAACAGGUUCAAUGUGGAACUUGAGGAUAAAAUACUCUGUCUAGAAAAACAGUUAAAAGAAGAGAAAUAUAAACAUUCUGAACAAGGUGAAUGGAUGACAGAUAUUUCAAAAAGGAUACAGUCUCUAGAAGAUGAGUCAGAAUCCCUCAAAUCACAAGUAGCUGAAGCCAAAAUGAUCUUCAAGAUAUUUCAAAUGAAGAACGACUGAAGAUAGCAUAAAAGAUGCUUUGAAUGAAAAUUCUCAACUUCAGAAAAGCCAGAAGCAGCUUUUGCAAGAAGCUGAAGUGUGCAAAAAAUAAGUGAGUGAACUUAAUAAACAGAAAAUAACGUUUGAAGACUCCAAAGUACACGCAGAACAAGUUGUAAAUGAUAAAAUCACAUCAAGACUCUGACUGAACACUUGCUAAAGAUGAAAGAUUGGGCUGCUAUGCUUGGAGAAGACAUAACAGAUGAUGAUAACUUGGAGUUGGAAAUGAACAAGGAAUUGGAAAAUGGUGCUUACUUAGAUAAUCCUCCAAAAGGAGCUUUAAAGAAACUGAUUCAUGCUGCUAAGUUAAAGGCUUCUUUAAAAACCUUAGAAGGAGAAAGGAACCAAAUUAUAUUCAGUUAUCUGAAGUUGAUAAAACAAAUGAAGAGCUUAGAGAGCAUAUUAAAAAUCUUCAGACUGAACAAGCAUCUUUGCUAUCAGAAAACACACGUUUUGAAAGUGAGAAUCAGAAUCUUCAACAGAAAUUUAAAGUGAUGACUGAAUUAUAUCAAGAAAAUGAAAUGAAAUCCCACAGGAAAUUGAGAAUAGAGGAAAAUUACCAGUUAGAGAAAGAAGAGAAAUUUUCUAAAGUAGACAAAAAGAUCAGCCAUGCCACUGAAGAGCUGGAGACCUAUAGAAAGCGAGCCAAAGAUCUUGAAGAAGAAUUGGAGAGAACUAUCCAUUCUUAUCAAGGGCAGAUUGUUUCCCAUGAGAAAAAAGCACAUUGGUAAUUGGUUGGCAGCUCAGACUGCUGAAAGAAACCUCAAUGAUUUAAGGAAAGAAAAUGCUCACAAAAGACAAAAAUUAACUGAAACAGGGUUUAAAUUUGAACUUUUAGAAAAAGAUCUUUAUGCACUUGAUGUUCCAAAUAUACCAUUGGGCAGAGAGCAUUCCCCAUAUGGUCCUUCACCACUGGGUCAGGCUUCAUCUGAAAUGAGAGCUUUUCUCUCUCAUCCAACUCUGUUGGAGGGUCCAUUCAGACUCUCACCUUUGCUUCUAGGGGGAGGAGGAAGAGGCUCAAGAGGCCCAGGGAAUCCUCUGGACCAUAAGAUUACCAAUGAAAGAAGAGAAUCAAGCUUUGAUAUGUUAAUCGAUUCUCAUAAGGCUCCUUUGGACACUGGGUCCGUGUCACCUCCAAGGGAACAGGACCAUAGGAUGAUGUUUCCUCCACCAGGACAAUCAUAUCCUGAUUCAGCUCUUCCUCCACAAAGGCAAGCCAGAUUUUAUUCUAAUUCUGGUAGACUGUCUGGACCAAUAGAACUCAGAAGUUUUGAUAUGCCUUUGGAUAAAAUGGAUGGGUCAAUGCCUUCCAAAAUGGAAUCCAGUAGAAAUGAUACCAAACAUGAUCUUGGUAAUUUCAAUGUACCUGAUUCAUCUCUCCCAGCUGAAAAUGGAGCAACUGGCCCCCGCUUUGUUCCUCCACCUCUUGCUCCAUUCAGAGGUUCAUUGUUUCCAGUGGAUACAAGGGGCCCGUUCAUGAGAAGAGGACCUCCUUUCCCCCCACCUCUUCCAGGAACCAUGCUUGGAGCUUCUUGAGAUUAUUUUCCACCAAGAGAUUUCCCAGGUCCAUCACAUGCUCCAUUUGCAAUGAGAAAUGUCUAUCCACCGAGGGAUUUUCCUCCUUACCUUCCCCCAAGACCUGGAUUUUUUCCUCCCACCCCUACAUCCUGAAGAUAGAAGUGAGCUCCCUUCAGGGUUGAUUCCACCUUCAAAUGAGCCUGCUACUGAUCAUUCAGAACCACAGCAAGAAACCUGACAAUAUUUUUACCCUCUUCAAAAGUAAUUUUGACUGAUCUCAUUUGCAGUUUAAGUAACUGCUGUUACUUAAGUGAUUACACUUUUGCUCAAAUUGAAGUUUAAUGGAAUUAUAAUUCUCAGGAUAGUAUUUUGUAUAAAUAAAGAUGAUUUAAAUAUGAAUCUUAUGAGUAAAUUAUUUCCAUUUUAUUUUAUUAUAGAUAGUAUAACUAUUUUAAUUUGAUUAAUCCACUGUUAUAUAAACAAUAGUGGGAGUUUUAGAUACGUUAUCUUGCAGGUGGGGAGGCUUUAAAUUCUAAAGGCUAUGCCUGUGUCUUUAUGCCAAGAACUGUAUUAACUGUGAUUGUAGACAAAUGUGAAAGUAACUUUAUGCUUAAUUAAAUAAAUUUUAGUUGAUUUAAAGACUUGUUUGGUAUUGAUAAUGAUAAAAUCAGAUAGUUUUUCU